UGAGGAAUAUUGGUCAAUGGGCGAGAGCCUGAACCAGCCAAGUCGCGUGAAGGAAGACUGCCCGCAAGGGUUGUAAACUUCUUUUAUAUGGGAAGAUAAUGACGGUACCAUAAGAAAAAGCCCCGGCUAACUACGUGCCAGCAGCCGCGGUAAUACGUAGGGGGCUAGCGUUGUCCGGAAUCACUGGGCGUAAAGGGUUCGCAGGCGGAAAUGCAAGUCAGGUGUAAAAGGCAGUAGCUUAACUACUGUAAGCAUUUGAAACUGCAUAUCUUGAGAAGAGUAGAGGUAAGUGGAAUUUUUAGUGUAGCGGUGAAAUGCGUAGAUAUUAAAAAGAAUACCGGUGGCGAAGGCGACUUACUGGGCUCAUUCUGACGCUGAGGAACGAAAGCGUGGGUAGCAAACAGG
RNAcentral lists this ribosomal RNA (405 nucleotides) under Fusobacteriota bacterium. RNAcentral's name for it is "Fusobacteria bacterium partial 16S ribosomal RNA". It matches the Rfam family "Bacterial small subunit ribosomal RNA", at positions 355 to 776 of the family's 1533-position model. The record is from RNAcentral. Lineage: Bacteria; Fusobacteriati; Fusobacteriota.